UUUUUUUUCUUUUUGCAGAUACAUUUAGGAAUAAUUGUUUUCCUGCCUUUACCAAACGAAUUUUUCCUUCAGCAGUUCAACCUACUGGUACAGUGUCACAGUGGAUUCGCUUUCUAAGUUUUGAAGGACUGUUGUGGAGAGAAAACUGAGAUCCAUUUCGAUGCUACUAAGAAAACAACUUCUAGCUGUGAAUGUAAACUAUAAGUACAUUUUAAUAUGAGAGUAAAUGUGGGAAAAGGAGUUUUCAUUAAAAGUGGUAAUUGAUUACUUUUUCUUGUUCGUUUUUGUAGAUUGUCCAUGAAAAGGAAUUCAGUUAAUUUUCGAUGCUAAUGGAGCAACUGAUGCUUUUGAUGUAAGGGAGAGAACUGGAAAUUAAUUUGGAAACCACCCAAGCAACAGAUUGUCUGCAGUGGUACUCUCCUAGAUUUGGCUUGCGCAUUCCACAUUCGACCGCUACUUCACUUAAGAUUAUCUAAGAAAAGAGAGACUUAAAGUCAGCUUGGUCAUACUGAAACAAGCAUUGUCUAGAUGGGCUUCAUCUUUCCUGGACUAUAUUCUUGUUUUGCUACUUUGUCCUCACCUUGAACCAUUAUGCAGUCAAUUUUCAACCGACGAGUGAGAGCAACUGGAGGUUUCUUUGAGUUCUUU
This 648-nucleotide long non-coding RNA is filed under the name Agrilus planipennis (emerald ash borer). RNAcentral describes it as "uncharacterized LOC108735822, transcript variant X1". Lineage: Eukaryota; Metazoa; Arthropoda; Insecta; Coleoptera; Buprestidae. The record is from RNAcentral.